UGGGGAAUUUUGGACAAUGGGCGAAAGCCUGAUCCAGCAAUGCCGCGUGUGUGAAGAAGGCCUUCGGGUUGUAAAGCACUUUUGUCCGGAAAGAAAUCCUUGGCUCUAAUACAGUCGGGGGAUGACGGUACCGGAAGAAUAAGCACCGGCUAACUACGUGCCAGCAGCCGCGGUAAUACGUAGGGUGCAAGCGUUAAUCGGAAUUACUGGGCGUAAAGCGUGCGCAGGCGGUUUGCUAAGACCGAUGUGAAAUCCCCGGGCUCAACCUGGGAACUGCAUUGGUGACUGGCAGGCUAGAGUAUGGCAGAGGGGGGUAGAAUUCCACGUGUAGCAGUGAAAUGCGUAGAGAUGUGGAGGAAUACCGAUGGCGAAGGCAGCCCCCUGGGCCAAUACUGACGCUCAUGCACGAAAGCGUGGGGAGCAAAACAGGAUUAGAUACCCUGGUAGUCCACGCCCUAAACGAUGUCAACUAGUUGUUGGGGAUUCAUUUCCUUAGUAACGUAGCUAACGCGUGAAGUUGACCGCCUGGGGAGUACGGUCGCAAGAUUAAAAACUUAAAGGAAUUGACGGGGUCAUAGCUGUUUCCU
RNAcentral lists this ribosomal RNA (587 nucleotides) under uncultured bacterium. RNAcentral describes it as "partial 16S ribosomal RNA". It matches the Rfam family "Bacterial small subunit ribosomal RNA", at positions 355 to 1375 of the family's 1533-position model. The record is from RNAcentral.